Molecule: ribosomal RNA, 440 nt
Filed under: uncultured bacterium
Lineage: Bacteria
Description: partial 16S ribosomal RNA
Rfam family: Bacterial small subunit ribosomal RNA
Source: RNAcentral
CCUACGGGGGGCAGCAGUGGGGAAUAUUGCACAAUGGGGGAAACCCUGAUGCAGCAACGCCGCGUGGGUGAAGAAGGACUUAGGUGUGUAAAGCCCUGUUAGUAGGGAAGAAAAUGACGGUACCUGGCCAAGAAGCCCCGGCUAACUACGUGCCAGCAGCCGCGGUAAUACGUAGGGGGCAAGCGUUAUCCGGAUUUACUGGGUGUAAAGGGUGCGUAGGCGGGGUGGCAAGUCAGAUGUGAAAUCCUGGGGCUCAACCACGGGAGUGCAUUUGAAACUGUCAGUCUGGAGUGCAGGAGAGGUAGGCGGAAUUCGUGGUGUAGCGGUGAAAUGCGUAGAUAUUAGGAGGAACACCAAUGGCGAAGGCGGCUUACUGGACGGUUACUGACGCUGAGGCUCGAAAGCGUGGGGAGCAAACAGGAUUAGAUACCCUUGUAGUC